This is a long non-coding RNA of Oreochromis aureus, 249 nucleotides long. RefSeq lists it as uncharacterized. The record is from RefSeq and is a predicted model, not a curated record. The transcript has 3 exons. Lineage: Eukaryota; Metazoa; Chordata; Actinopteri; Cichliformes; Cichlidae.
CACUUUAGAUUCUAGCCAAUCAUUUUAUGUUUCCGACGAUAGUAGGCAGGCUCAGUUCCUCCUGUCCUGUUGCAAGAGCUCUGGCAUGUCACAAGUUCGGCUCAAAGCCCCCCUGAAAGCCCACACAAUCAGCUGCUGGAGUUUGUGUUUCCCCUUCUAGUUGAUGGUGAAAAACAAACUCUGAACUUUCAGCAUUUCUUUAAAACAGCAAAGUCCAAAAAGAAACCCCCCAAACCCACGAGGCAGCAC